UACGCACUCGUCGUUACUUUAGACUUUAGAAGCUUGAGAAGGUGGAAGUGAAGGAAGAAAACAUACAUAAAUGUGAUUUUGUUGGUGGCCGUUGUCAACGUCUCGUCUCAUGGAACUCUUUUUAUUCUCUGUUCUUGAUUUUUCUGCUUGGGCCCUUUGCUAAUCUCCACACUGUUUCUUCCUUUCUCUCUCUUUCUCUCUCACGCACACUCUAUUCUUCCGAGAAGACACACACCUCGAUCGUCUCUGAGUUGUCUGGAUUUAUAGUAUAAGAUCCGUUUGUUUUUUUCUUGUUGUCGGGAAAUCAAAACGAAAUGUCGGGUUUCUGAUCAUGGUUUUGGGCGCCGUCUUCCUACGAGCGGUGGUGUUUUGUCGAUUUCUGAACCUCGAAAGAGCCUUUCCGGUGCACCGCCGAAUCAUGCAAGGUGGGAUCGUCGAUUUUCCCGUCGAGAGUGCUUACAAUCCUUACACMGUCGGAUUGCUUUGAAUUACUUUGAUGCUGCCACCUCAUCCAGAUGAAAUAUGUAAUUUGGCGGUUCAAACUUUAGAUGGUGGCUGCACUGCUCAGAAUUCCCAGUGUGGUUACUCCUUUUAGUAUGGUGAUGGAAAUGGGACAUCGGGUUAUUAUUGUACAUGAUAUGUUAUUCUUUGACACAGUUCCCAGGAGAUGUAGCAACUAUCAGUCCGGAGACUUGACCAAGCCAGACAGAGCUGAUGAUGGGAUUUUUGGGUUUGGGCAGCACGGACUGUCCGUCGUUUCACAACUGCCACCAAAAAGUUUCAAUUCAAAUUUUUGACAUUUCUCCCAGGAUGGGGCAAGAAUUUUGGUGCAUUGGCUUCCAUGGAGUUCAGGACGAAGGGAUGACCAUUUUAUGGGGUUUGAAUCCUAACUUGAAUGUUUCUCCAUUGUAUGCUCUAGUCCAUAAUGUAGAGAAUGAGUACUGGUUAUAUGCUAACCUUUGCAUUUAUGUCAUGUGUGCRUAUCCUUGUGGCUUCUAACAUACACUAUAAACAUAUGUUUUUAUUUAGAUAUGUAAAUAUAUUCUGUAUAUAUUUGUAUACAUGCCUAGAUAUGUAUGUAUCUAUAUCUUUGUCAUGAAGUUCAUUCUAAAAAGGUUUUACUAUUGAUAAUWAUGAUGUAUACAUGAAAGCAUUAUUUUGCUUAAAUUAAUCGCCUAUUAAACUGUUAUUCUUGAUGACAUGUAAAACUAAGAAAUUAAAUAUAWUUAACAAAAUGAGGAAGUUCUUAUAUAGGUUAACAAAGGAUGACAAUGGGUCGAGUUAAAUGGUAAACCCGACGUGACCCGACCCUAUAGGGUUGGGUUAGGUCAGGUGUAUUCGGCUUUUGGGCCGGGUUAGGGUUUUGAUUCUUUGACCCGAGUUGGGUUUGGGUUCGGGUUUUGACUAGCCCACUCCGUUGGGUCAUGAUACCUACAUAUAUGCCAAGUAUUCUUGCAGUUUUUUGACUUCUAACUAUAUAGACUUAGUGUUUAUAUUUUAUUUACAUGUUGAUUUUGAUUUUCUUCUUUUUUAAAAUGGAAAAARUAACACCUUAGAAUGUAUAAAACAACUUCCUAACUUAAAUUAAUGUUUUUUAUGUCUCCAAAACAUGUUAAAAAAUACAUUUGAAAUGCUACAGGUCGA
Nelumbo nucifera (sacred lotus) is the source of this 1644-nucleotide non-coding RNA. The record is from RefSeq and is a predicted model, not a curated record. Lineage: Eukaryota; Viridiplantae; Streptophyta; Magnoliopsida; Proteales; Nelumbonaceae.